Molecule: ribosomal RNA, 252 nt
Filed under: Coturnix coturnix (Common quail)
Lineage: Eukaryota; Metazoa; Chordata; Aves; Galliformes; Phasianidae
Description: 16S ribosomal RNA
Source: RNAcentral
UUUGCCCUACCUCUAGCCCAACCAACAAAUCUUCAAAAAAUCCAAAAUCACCUCACACAGUUUAAUUAAAACAUUUAAUCUUAUCCUAGUAUAGGCGAUAGAACCGACCCGAGGCGCAAUAGAGACCAACCGUACCGUAAGGGAAAGAUGAAAUAACAAUGAAAAACACAAGCAAAAAGCAGUAAAGACAAACCCUUGUACCUCUUGCAUCAUGAUUUAGCAAGAACAACCAAGCAAAGCGGACUAAAGCUU